Molecule: long non-coding RNA, 356 nt
Filed under: Homo sapiens (human)
Lineage: Eukaryota; Metazoa; Chordata; Mammalia; Primates; Hominidae
Description: HSALNT0212934
Source: RNAcentral
GGCACUGAAAAUGAAGCACAAGUGAAGGAAGCAGGCACCCAGGCAGAUAAUUGACAAUAGGCUCCCAUGGAAGUCUUCUGUGCAUUUCUGCAAAAAUUUAGGAAACAUUAGGUUUGACACCAUCAUCAUGUUUGCCAAGGCAGCAAAAAUCCCAGCCGGCAAAGCUUCAAGUGUGAUGAAGCGGAACAGCAAGGACAGCACGGAAUGACUGAUCAUUUCAGAAUGCCGUCUAGCGAGAGUUUCCAAUGUGGGAGUUUUCCAUUGUUUUGAAGCAGGAGAAAUAGGGACCGGCUGCUUUGGAAGAAACAUGCUGUAGGUAGGAUUUCCUCUUCUUUCUUUUCUACCUGACUUUCUGC